GAUGAACGCUGGCGGCGUGCCUAAUACAUGCAAGUCGAACGAACAGACGAGGAGCUUGCUCCGCUGACGUUCGCGGCGCGCGGGUGUGUAACACGUGUAUAACCUACCUAUAAGACUGGUAUAACUUCGGGAAACCGGAGCUAAUACCGGAUAAUAUAUUGAACCGCAUGGUUCAAUAGAGAAAGACGGUUUUGCUGUCACUUAUAGAUGGAUCCGCGCCGCAUUAGCUAGUUGGUAAGGUAACGGCUUACCAAGGCAACGAUGCGUAGCCGAACUGAGAGGGUGAUAGGCCACACUGGAACUGGGCCACGGUCAAGACUCCUGAGGGAGGCAGCAGUAGGGAAUCUUCCGCAAUGGGCGAAAGCCUGACGGAGCAACGCCGCGUGAGUGACGAAGGUCUUCGGAUCGUAAAACUCUGUUAUUAGGGAAGAACAAAUGUGGAAGUAAAUAUGCACGUCUUGACGGUACCUAAUCAGAAAGCCCCGGCUAACUACGUG
Molecule: ribosomal RNA, 497 nt
Filed under: uncultured bacterium
Lineage: Bacteria
Description: partial 16S ribosomal RNA
Rfam family: Bacterial small subunit ribosomal RNA
Source: RNAcentral